GCAGGGAUGCCGGAGCGGUCAAACGGGCGAGAUUAAGGCUCUCGUGACUUAUGUCUACGCAGGUUCGAAUCCUGUUCCUUGCA
This 83-nucleotide transfer RNA is filed under the name Candidatus Pacearchaeota archaeon. RNAcentral describes it as "tRNA-Leu". It matches the Rfam family "tRNA". Rfam says of the family: Transfer RNA (tRNA) molecules are approximately 80 nucleotides in length. Lineage: Archaea; Nanobdellati. The record is from RNAcentral.